RNAcentral lists this long non-coding RNA (252 nucleotides) under Brassica napus (rape). RNAcentral's name for it is "long non-coding RNA (BNAP_LNC012587)". The record is from RNAcentral. Lineage: Eukaryota; Viridiplantae; Streptophyta; Magnoliopsida; Brassicales; Brassicaceae.
AAGAAGCCUCCACAACCCGGGAACUUUAUCGGCGAUGCAAGAGCUGUGUAAGCCUCUACAACCCGGAUCAAAACGCCGCUGAAAUGGAGAUCUGACUAUCCUAUCUCCUCUCUCCUCGCCGCGAAUCCAGAGGAAGAAGAUUUGCAGAGAACCGGUCUUCCCGAGACAAAACCCUAACCCAGAUCCGCGCGCAUGUCGGAGAGAAUCGACAGAUCGGAAUAAACUCACGAAGACUUGAACGGAAUAACAAGG